UUCGCCGUAGCUAGCUCUCUGCAAUUCUCACAUUGUCUCCCACUGAAGCUAAGCAGGGAUGUGUGCGGUUAAUACCUGGAUGGGAGAUCAUAUGGGAAAGCUAGGUUGCUGCCGGAA
Molecule: ribosomal RNA, 117 nt
Filed under: Danio rerio (zebrafish)
Lineage: Eukaryota; Metazoa; Chordata; Actinopteri; Cypriniformes; Danionidae
Source: RNAcentral